UUAAUUGUUCUUGCAUGAAUUUUAUUUUAGGUGGUUGCCUUUUCUGGUUGGCUUGGCUGUUUUGGGGUCUUGCAGACUGCGAGCUGCAGUAACAGCUCUACCACCUCUCAUCAUGGCCAGCCCCACGGAUAAUAACGAGGGCUUCUUCUCAGAUGUCAGAAAGGUGGGUUACCUGCGCAAACCCAAGAGCAUGCAUAAACGAUUUUUCGUGCUGAGGGCAGCCAGUGAGUCUGGACCCGCCCGGCUGGAGUAUUACGAGAAUGAGAAGAAAUGGAGACACAAGUCAGGGGCCCCCAAGCGCUCCAUCCCACUAGAAAGCUGCUUCAACAUCAACAAACGGGCUGACUCCAAGAACAAGCACCUGGUGGCCCUCUACACCAAGGACGAGCACUUUGCCAUUGCAGCUGACAGCGAACCUGAGCAGGAGAGCUGGUACCAAGCGCUGCUGCAGUUGCACAACAGGGCCAAGGGCCACCACCACCUCCACCACCAUCACCACCACCACCACAGCGAUGUCACUUUUGGAGGCAGCAGCACAGGACUGGGGGAAGCAGGUGAGGACAGCUAUGGUGAGGUAGCCCCUGGUCCAGCUUUUAAGGAAGUUUGGCAAGUAAUUCUGAAGCCUAAGGGCCUAGGCCAGACAAAGAACCUGAUUGGCAUCUACCGCCUGUGCCUGACUAACAAGACCAUCAGCUUUGUAAAGCUGAAUUCAGAUGCGGCUGCUGUGGUGCUGCAGCUGCUCAAUAUCCGCCGCUGUGGUCACUCUGAGAACUUCUUCUUCAUUGAGGUGGGACGCUCAGCUGUCACCGGGCCUGGUGAGUUCUGGAUGCAGGUGGAUGACUCAGUGGUGGCACAGAACAUGCAUGAAACUAUCCUGGAGGCCAUGCGAGCCAUGAGUGAGGAAUUCCGGCCCCGCAGCAAGAGCCAGUCCUCCUCAAACUGUUCCAACCCGAUCUCUGUGCCCCUUCGCAGGCACCACGUCAACAACCCUCCACCGAGCCAAGUGGGGCUCAGUCGGCGGUCCAGGACUGAGAGCGUCACGGCCACUUCUCCUGCCGGUGGUGGAGGUACAGGUGGCAAACCCAGCUCUUUCCGGGUUCGAGCAUCGAGUGAUGGGGAAGGCACAAUGUCAAGACCUGCCUCUGUGGAUGGUAGCCCAGUUAGUCCCAGUGCUAACCGGACUCAUUCACACAGACACCGUGGCAACUCCAGGCUCCAUCCUCCACUCAACCACAGCCGCUCCAUCCCGAUGCCUUCCUCGCGCUGCUCUCCUUCAGCCACCAGUCCAGUCAGUCUGUCAUCCAGCAGCACUAGUGGCCACGGCUCCACAUCAGACUGCCUGUUUCCACGAAGGUCUAGUGCUUCAGUUUCUGGCUCCCCUAGUGAUGGUGGAUUUAUUUCUUCUGAUGAGUAUGGUUCAAGCCCAUGUGACUUUCGCAGCUCUUUUCGCAGUGUAACGCCUGAUUCAUUGGGGCACACACCCCCUGCCCGGGGUGAUGAAGACCUCAACUACAUCUGCAUGGGAGGGAAGGCCACCUCUUCUUGCUGCAGCCUGGCAGCACCCAAUGGCCAUUUCAUCCCACGCACCUGCCACCCUCAGCAGCAGCAGCCCCGCUAUCCUGGUACACCCUGCUGUCCUCGAGGUGGUAGUGAGGAGGUUGCGGACUUGGAGAAGGCAUUCAGAAAGAGGACUCACUCUGCAGGCACUUCGCCCACCAUCUCCCACCAGAAGACACCCUCACAGUCUUCGGUAGCCUCCAUCGAGGAGUACACGGAGAUGCUGCCUUCUUACUCCUGUGGCAGCAGCAGGCUGCCCUCCUACCGCCACUCAGCCUUCGUGCCCACUCACUCCUAUCCAGAGGAGUGCCUGGAGAUGCACCACAUGGACAGCGGCCGUCAUCGGACCAACUCUGCCCCGCACACGGAUGAUGGCUACAUGCCCAUGUCACCUGGCGUAGCCCCUGUGCCCAGUGGUGGGGGGCCCCCCAAGGGUGGUGACUAUAUGCCCAUGAGUCCUAAGAGUGUGUCGGCCCCACAGCAGAUCAUCAACCCUGGCAGGGGUGGCCGCCACCCUCCAGCCACAGUGGACUCUAAUGGCUACAUGAUGAUGUCUCCCAGUGGCAGCUACUCCCCCGACAGCAGCUCCGCGGGCUACGGCAAGAUCUGGACAAACGGUGCCGGCCACCACCCAAAACUCUCAGUGGAGAGCAACGAAGGGAAGCUCCCCUGCGGCGGCAGCGACUAUAUCAACAUGUCCCCGGCCAGCGGCUCCACCACCAGCACUCCGCCCGACUGCUACUUCGGGGCCGCGGGGCAGCCGGGGGUCGAGGAGGCGGCCGCCGUAGCGCACCACAAACCCAUCUACUCCUACUUCUCGCUGCCACGCUCCUUCAAACACGUGCACCGGCGGGGCGGCGGCAGGCCGGGUGGGACAGCCGAGGAGGGCAGCCCUCAGCCCCGCAUCGCGCUCGGCUCCAGCCGCCUCCUUUACGCGGCCGAGGACUCGUCCUCCUCCACCAGCAGCGACAGCCUGGGCGGCGGCGGCGGUCCCGAGGGCGGCCCCCCUCCUCAAGCGCAGCCCCCACGCAAGGUGGACACGGCCGUGCAGACCAAGGGCCGCCUGGCGCGCCCCACGCGGCUGUCGCUGGGCGGCCCCAAGGCCAGCACCCUGCCGCGGGCCCGGGAGCAGCCCCCGGUGCUGCUGCCCCCCGAGCCCAAGAGCCCCGGCGAGUACGUGAACAUCGAGUUCAUCGCCGGCGAGAAGCCUCCCUUCCCCUCGGCCGCCCUGAGCGCGGCCCCGCCGCCCCCGGGCAGCGAGGCCGCCGAGGAGUACAUGAACAUGGAGCCGGGCCCGCCGCGGGCCCCCUGCCCGCCCGGCUUCGCCGCCGCGCGGGCCGCCCGCUUCGGCCGGGACUACGUGGCGAUGCAGCGGGGGGGCGCCGCGGUCGGCGGGGGCUCCUGCUCGGACUACGCGGACGGCCCGUCCCCCGGCUCGCCCGCCCGCCUGCUCGGCUACGCCGAGGUGCGGGGGGGCCGCGCCGGCCCCGAAAAGCCCCCGCCGGCCGCCGCCACCGCCGCGUCCCCGGAGCUGCCGCGGCCGCCGGCCGAGCUGUCGGCGGCGCCGCCGCGCUCCUCCUCCCUGCUGGGGGGCCUGGGCGCGGGCAGCGCCUUCACCCGAGUCAGCCUCAGCCCCGGCCGCAACCAGAGCGCCAAGGUGAUCCGCGCCGACCCGCAGGGCGGCCGGCGGCGGCACAGCUCCGAGACCUUCUCCUCCACGCCGAGCGCGGCCCGCGGAGCGGCGGGCGGGCUCGGGGCACCCCUCCCGUACAGCGGCGCGGGCGGCGCCGAGGAGGUGAAGCGGCACAGCUCGGCCUCCUUCGAGAACGUGUGGCUGCGGCCCGGCGCGGGGGAGGCGGCCGCCCGCCGGGAGCCGGGGGCCGCGCCCGCCCUGGAGAACGGGCUCAACUACAUCGACCUGGACUUGGUGAGGGACUGCGGCCACCGCCGCCACCACCACCCGCACGCCCCCGCCGAGGCGAAGCAGCCGCUGCCGCCGAAGCCCCCGGGCCAGCAGCGCGGGAGCGGCCACUGCGGCGAGGAUCUGAGCGCGUACGCCAGCAUCAGCUUCCAGAAGCGGGAGGAGAUGUAGGAGCCGGGCGCCCGCCGGGGAAGAACAAUCUUCCACCCCAUCCCAAAGGCCAAAACUGUCUGGACAAUGCUUGUUUUAUCCAUUCUGGAAUUUUCUGUUGAUGCCAUCUACAGGACAAUGACCCCAGAUGUUGGCUGUCCAUCUCCUAAUGGAAUGAUGACCUACACAACCUCACCAAAUCCUUCUUUUAAACUCAUGGGUAUCAAGACUAUAAAUGUUUCAUGCUAUCACAACUAGGACCUCACCUCCUCCUCCUCUUCCUCUGUAAAUGGGUACGAUGCAUCCAGUUCAGUUUGUUUACUUUACACAAACCUCAGGAGUUGUUGACUGAGCUGCACAUCCUGUGUUGUGCCAAGCAGAAGCACUGUGACACCUGGACAAGUCUCUCUUCAUCCUCUACCAUAAAGACUUAGCUGGCCACAUGAACUGAUGUGCCCACCACUACAUCAUGGUGAGAAUGGGUAUUUUACUAGCACAUUUACACAACUUCAUUUGCUGCUGAAAACCUGUAUGACAAAUCAUCAUUGUAAAUUAUUACAUACAAAACUUAAUGUUGGUUGAAGAGUAUUAAAUAUUUAACAUAGGUUUUGAUUUAUACAUGUACUUUUUUAAUUAAAAUGUAACUUUUCCUACAGCACAUCUUUUUUGAUGUGGAACUGAGGUAUACUAUAUUCUGUUGUAAACAGAGUGGGGAACCUGCUUAAAACAAGGCUUCUAAGAAUAGAGUAGGGUACUAUUCUUGUUUUAAGAUUGUAAUUCAGAAAAUAAUAUAAUACGAGUCAUUGGUCCCUGGGCCUUGAUUGUACAGUCAUAUUUACUGAUACUAUCAGUUGUAAGAUAACCCCGAUGUUGAGCUGAAUUCUUUCCAAAAGAAAAAUAAUUUUGUACUCCUUGUAAAAUAAUAGUCUGUAUUAACUGCAAUGAAGACAAACUUUACUGUACAUGGGUAUUUACAAGUGUCAACUUGAAUUCAUCAAUUGCACAGGAACUGACAAAAAAAAAUCAGAAAAAAGAAAUCAAAGUCUUCCAUUGUAUAUAUUGUAAAGAAGAAAAGCAAACAAAAAAAAAUCAACCACCAGGAAACCACAAAGCAAAAUGGAAACAAAAAAAAAGGGUGAACUUUUUAAAUUGACUCUUUCCCUGGAAUGAAAAUGUGGGUGUUUGUAAAUUCUGGAAAUCUCUUUCUAUAUGUAAUAAACUAGAUACUGUUUUAUCUGC
Hirundo rustica (Barn swallow) is the source of this 4867-nucleotide RNA transcript. It is a transcript of the gene named insulin receptor substrate 1, with no coding region annotated. The record is from RefSeq and is a predicted model, not a curated record. The transcript is spliced from 3 exons. NCBI's taxonomy places the organism in Eukaryota, Metazoa, Chordata, Aves, Passeriformes, Hirundinidae.